CCUACGGGAGGCAGCAGUAGGGAAUAUUCCACAAUGGGGGAAACCCUGAUGCAGCGACGCCGCGUGAGUGAAGAAGUAUCUCGGUACGUAAAGCUCUAUCAGCAGGGAAGAAAAUGACGGUACCUGACUAAUAAGCCCCGGCUAACUACGUGCCAGCAGCCGCGGUAAUACGUAGGGGGCAAGCGUUAUCCGGAUUUACUGGGUGUAAAGGGAGCGUAGACGGCAGCACAAGUCUGGAGUGAAAGCCGGGGGCUUAACCCCGGAACUGCUUUGGAAACUGUGCGGCUGGAGUGCAGGAGGGGUAAGCGGAAUUCCAAGUGUAGCGGUGAAAUGCGUAGAUAUUAGGAGGAACACCGGUGGCGAAGGCGGCUUACUGGACUGUAACUGACGUUGAGGCUCGAAAGCGUGGGGAGCAAACAGGAUUAGAUACCCGAGUAGUC
Molecule: ribosomal RNA, 440 nt
Filed under: uncultured bacterium
Lineage: Bacteria
Description: partial 16S ribosomal RNA
Rfam family: Bacterial small subunit ribosomal RNA
Source: RNAcentral